CAGCGAUGCCGCGUGAGUGAAGAAGGCCUUUGGGUUGUAAAGCUCUUUCGUCGGGGAAGAAAAUGACUGUACCCGAAUAAGAAGGUCCGGCUAACUUCGUGCCAGCAGCCGCGGUAAUACGAAGGGACCUAGCGUAGUUCGGAAUUACUGGGCUUAAAGAGCUCGUAGGUGGUUAAAAAAGUUGGUGGUGAAAUCCCAAAGCUUAACCCUGGAACUGCCAUCAAAACUUUUUAACUAGAGUAUGAUAGAGGAAAGCGGAAUUUCUAGUGUAGAGGUGAAAUUCGUAGAUAUUAGAAAGAAUACCAAUUGCGAAGGCAGCUUUCUGGAUCAUUACUGACACUGAGGAGCGAAAGCAUGGGUAGCGAAGAGGAUUAGAUACCCUCGUAGUCCAUGCCGUAAACGAUGUGUGCUAGACGUUGGA
RNAcentral lists this ribosomal RNA (421 nucleotides) under uncultured Alphaproteobacteria bacterium. RNAcentral describes it as "bacterial SSU rRNA". It matches the Rfam family "Bacterial small subunit ribosomal RNA", at positions 389 to 827 of the family's 1533-position model. The record is from RNAcentral. Lineage: Bacteria; Pseudomonadati; Pseudomonadota; Alphaproteobacteria.